GGAAUAUUGGGCAAUGGCCGAGAGGCUGACCCAGCCAUGCCGCGUGCAGGAAGAAGGCCUUCUGGGUUGUAAACUGCUUUUAUCUAGGAAGCAAAUACCCUUGCGAGGGGAACUGACGGUACUAGAUGAAUAAGACCCGGCUAACUCCGUGCCAGCAGCCGCGGUAAGACGGAGGGUGCAAGCGUUGUCCGGAUGUAUUGGGUUUAAAGGGUGCGUAGGCGGCCCGUUAAGUCAGCGGUGAAAUCCCACGGCUCAACCGUGGAACUGCCGUUGAUACUGGCGGGCUUGAGUUCGGUCGAGGCGGGCGGAACUGGUGGUGUAGCGGUGAAAUGCAUAGAUACCACCAAGAACCCCGAUUGCGUAGGCAGCUCGCUGGGCCGAAACUGACGCUGAGGCACGAAAGCGUGGGGAGC
This 413-nucleotide ribosomal RNA is filed under the name uncultured bacterium. RNAcentral describes it as "bacterial SSU rRNA". It matches the Rfam family "Bacterial small subunit ribosomal RNA", at positions 358 to 769 of the family's 1533-position model. The record is from RNAcentral.